UUUGUGAUGAUACACAAAUCAAGCAUAGUUCAAUCAGAAGUCAUAAUGAUCGACACAAUUCCAUCUAAGUCUUUCGCUCCUAUCUGA
RNAcentral lists this small nucleolar RNA (87 nucleotides) under Trichosporon asahii var. asahii CBS 8904. RNAcentral describes it as "Small nucleolar RNA snR60/Z15/Z230/Z193/J17". It matches the Rfam family "Small nucleolar RNA snR60/Z15/Z230/Z193/J17". Rfam says of the family: The members of this family belong to the C/D class of snoRNAs which contain the C (UGAUGA) and D (CUGA) box motifs. Lineage: Eukaryota; Fungi; Basidiomycota; Tremellomycetes; Trichosporonales; Trichosporonaceae. The record is from Rfam by way of RNAcentral.